RNAcentral lists this small RNA (53 nucleotides) under Xanthomonas oryzae pv. oryzae. RNAcentral's name for it is "sX9". It matches the Rfam family "Xanthomonas sRNA sX9", at positions 1 to 52 of the family's 76-position model. Lineage: Bacteria; Pseudomonadati; Pseudomonadota; Gammaproteobacteria; Lysobacterales; Lysobacteraceae. The record is from RNAcentral.
AUGUACCACGCGGACACUGCGGUUCUGAGCGCGCCGUCCGCGCCCACCUGACC